RNAcentral lists this ribosomal RNA (253 nucleotides) under uncultured bacterium. RNAcentral describes it as "partial 16S ribosomal RNA". It matches the Rfam family "Bacterial small subunit ribosomal RNA", at positions 524 to 776 of the family's 1533-position model. The record is from RNAcentral.
UACAGGGGGGGCGAGCGUUGUUCGGAAUUACUGGGCGUAAAGGGUUCGUAGGUGGCUGACUAAGUCAGACGUGAAAUCCCUCAGCUUAACUGGGGAACUGCGUCUGAGACUGGAGAGCUUGAGUGCAGGAGAGGAACGCGGAAUUCCAGGUGUAGCGGUGAAAUACGUAGAUAUCGAGAGGAACACCUGCGGCGAAGGCGGGUUGCUGGGCUGACACUGACGCUGAUGCGCGAAAGCCAGGGGAGCGAACGGG